This 203-nucleotide long non-coding RNA is filed under the name Elaeis guineensis (African oil palm). RNAcentral describes it as "long non-coding RNA (EGUI_LNC066549)". Lineage: Eukaryota; Viridiplantae; Streptophyta; Magnoliopsida; Arecales; Arecaceae. The record is from RNAcentral.
GGUUUAUCUGAUUUAUAUGGAAGAGUUCCAUAUGAAUAAACCUCCUCCACACCAAAAGCCAUGCAAGAAAAAUUUGGCAUGCCCCAUUUAUUUUUGGCAUUAAGAAGGAAGAGUCCUUCUUAACAAGGUAUCUUAAUUUCUUUCAAGUUCCACACAUUUUUCAUUAAUCAUCAUAUCAUGUGAUGGCACUUGGGAUAUGAGGC